AUGAAGAUGAUGAUGAACAUGCAUGUCAACCCUGCAAUAUAAGCAAGAACUAAUUAUUACAGGAAAAGGUACAAGUAUGGAGAUAAGAAAAAUAAUGUUUGGAUGAAAAUUGGAUUAUUUCCGGGGAUAAGAAAAUAGCAUUUGGAUAGAUAAUAUGGAAUAAGAAAAAUAGCUGGUAAUUUUAUAUAGAAAAUGAUGGUGUUGGUGUGAAUAGUUAUACCCUGUUAUUAUAGGUAACAGAGAACUACUGUUCUCGGAUAAAAAAUUAGCGUUUGGUAUAAAGGGGAUAAGGGGUUAUCUUUAUCCCCCUAUCCCCU
RNAcentral lists this long non-coding RNA (317 nucleotides) under Ananas comosus (pineapple). RNAcentral's name for it is "long non-coding RNA (ACOM_LNC008427)". Lineage: Eukaryota; Viridiplantae; Streptophyta; Magnoliopsida; Poales; Bromeliaceae. The record is from RNAcentral.